RNAcentral lists this ribosomal RNA (458 nucleotides) under uncultured bacterium. RNAcentral describes it as "partial 16S ribosomal RNA". It matches the Rfam family "Bacterial small subunit ribosomal RNA", at positions 338 to 795 of the family's 1533-position model. The record is from RNAcentral.
CCUACGGGAGGCAGCAGUGGGGAAUAUUGCACAAUGGGGGAAACCCUGAUGCAGCGACGCCGCGUGAGUGAAGAAGUAAUUCGUUACGUAAAGCUCUAUCAGCAGGGAAGAAAUACUUACCUUACGGUCAGCAGACGGUACCUGAGUAAGAAGCCCCGGCUAACUACGUGCCAGCAGCCGCGGUAAUACGUAGGGGGGAAGCGUUUUCCGGAUUUACUGGGUGUAAAGGGAGCGUAGACGGUGCGCCAAGUCUGGAGUGAAAUGCCGGAGCUUAACUGCGGAACUGCUUUGGAAACGGGCGAACUAGAGUGCGGGAGGGGUAAGCGGAAUUCCUGGUGUAGCGGUGAAAUGCGUAGAUAUUAGGAGGAACACCGGUGGCGAAGGCGGCUUACUGGACCGUAACUGACGUUGAGGCUCGAAAGCGUGGGUAGCAAACAGGAUUAGAUACCCCAGUAGUC